Molecule: ribosomal RNA, 689 nt
Filed under: uncultured marine bacterium
Lineage: Bacteria
Description: bacterial SSU rRNA
Rfam family: Bacterial small subunit ribosomal RNA
Source: RNAcentral
AGUGGCGAACGGGUGAGUAAAGCAUCGGAACGUGCCCAGUAGUGGGGGAUAGCCCGGCGAAAGCCGGAUUAAUACCGCAUACGACCUAAGGGUGAAAGGGGGGGAUCGCAAGACCUCUCGCUAUUGGAGCGGCCGAUGUCAGAUUAGCUAGUUGGUGGGGUAAAGGCCUACCAAGGCGACGAUCUGUAGCUGGUCUGAGAGGACGACCAGCCACACUGGGACUGAGACACGGCCCAGACUCCUACGGGAGGCAGCAGUGGGGAAUUUUGGACAAUGGACGAAAGUCUGAUCCAGCCAUGCCGCGUGCGGGAAGAAGGCCUUCGGGUUGUAAACCGCUUUUGUCAGGGAAGAAAUCUUCUGGGUUAAUAACUCGGGAGGAUGACGGUACCUGAAGAAUAAGCACCGGCUAACUACGUGCCAGCAGCCGCGGUAAUACGUAGGGUGCAAGCGUUAAUCGGAAUUACUGGGCGUAAAGCGUGCGCAGGCGGUUAUGCAAGACAGAUGUGAAAUCCCCGGGCUCAACCUGGGAACUGCAUUUGUGACUGCAUAGCUGGAGUGCGGCAGAGGGGGAUGGAAUUCCGCGUGUAGCAGUGAAAUGCGUAGAUAUGCGGAGGAACACCGAUGGCGAAGGCAAUCCCCUGGGCCUGCACUGACGCUCAUGCACGAAAGCGUGGGGAGCAAACAGGAUU